GCUGGGACUGUAGCUCAGUGGCAGAGAGCUUGCCUAGCACGUAUGAGGCACUGGGUUUGAUCCUCCGCACAGCA
RNAcentral lists this transfer RNA (74 nucleotides) under Marmota monax (woodchuck). RNAcentral describes it as "tRNA.Ala". The record is from RNAcentral. Lineage: Eukaryota; Metazoa; Chordata; Mammalia; Rodentia; Sciuridae.